CCCUUAGAUGUCCUGGGCCGCACGCGCGCUACACUGACAUGUUCAACAAGUUUCUCCUAGUUCGACAGGACUGGGAAAUCUUUGAACGCAUGUCGUGAUAGGGAUAGAUCAUUGCAAUUAUUGAUCUUGAACGAGGAAUUCCUAGUAAACGCGAGUCAUCAGCUCGCAUUGAUUACGUCCCUGCCCUUUGUACACACCGCCCGUCGCACCUACCGAUUGAAUGUUUCGGUGAAGAUUCCGGAUAGGACUGAUUUGAUUUACUUCAUUUCUGACCUAAAAGCUAUCUAAACCUCAACAUUUAGAGGAAGGUGAAGUCGUAACA
RNAcentral lists this ribosomal RNA (322 nucleotides) under uncultured eukaryote. RNAcentral describes it as "partial 18S ribosomal RNA". It matches the Rfam family "Eukaryotic small subunit ribosomal RNA", at positions 1470 to 1796 of the family's 1831-position model. The record is from RNAcentral.